UCGCAAACAACACUUCAUAUACAAUUGCAAACAGUCCCUGAAAAAUUGUCUAACCCACAGAAUAACUGCAUAAGGUGGUGAAAUACCUUGAACAAUCUUCGUGUCAUAUACAAUGUACGCCACUCCGUCUCUAUGCUUCAUCGAACGCCACCCCCUUCGCUCGCGAUUCCUCAAGAAUUCCGGCACAAUUUCUCUAUUUUCAUGAAUCUAAAGUUAGUUUCGCAAUCUUGUCUAGCCCUUUUACCAACGGUCAGAACGCAAAAGUUGAAAGCAGCAGUACUGUGUAUGGAAAUCAAGAUAAUGCUGCGAAAUCUUCUGAACGCGUUUCUCAAUCUGGUUCAACCAUUAAAGCACCCACUGCUCCGUGGGUGAAGGGUCCUCUUCUUCUUGAACCCAAUCAAUUAAGAAAUUUUCUUCAAGACCUAGAAAAGAUUCCACCUCAGAUGAAAUUGAACAACACCCUGAUAAGGCCUUGGCUGGUGCCUGGUAAAGUGAAUGGUGGAAGAGGGAAAAAAGCCAUGAAGAAAAUCUUUCAAGGCAUUGAGAAACUCCAAGAAGCCGAAAAUUUGGAGGAAACUCAGUGGGACCCGGAAAAUGUUAAAUUCAGAUUUGCACCUGGUGACUUGUGGGGAAAUGCAGUCUUUGAAAAUGUUGUAGGAGUUCAGGGAGAUUGAAGAAAAUGCCGUGGGAGAGAGAUGAGAAAAAUGUUGAUUAACAGGGUAAAAAAGGAGGAGUUUACCACUGCCGAGUUGGUUCUUGAUGGAAUAUUGAUAAAGAGGUUGCGGGUGCGGGGUGAGGCUGCCAUAACGAGAAAAUGGGCGAAGGUUAAGAAAGCUGGAGUGACUCAAGCUGUUGUUGAUCAAAUUCAUUUUAUUUGGAAGAACAAUGAACUUGCCUUAAUCAAGUUUGAUCUGCCCUUGUGCCAAUACGGAGAGAGCGCAAGAGAUCACUGAGGUUAUGUUUGUUUACCUUUCCUUUUCUUUAUCUACAUAAAUCAGCCUAUACUUCUGAAAUCGUCAGUCUUUUAACAUAAGUUGAUUGUUACAACAAAAAUAUAAAAUUAGAAUAAAAUGAUCACAGUUGUAUAUAUUCUUUUUAUCCAAGCUUUAUCUAUUAAGUCACCCCAUAAGUCUGCAGUCCUUCUGUUUCAGAAAGUUCAAGAUGCACCUCGUGUUAGUGAUCAAGUUGAACAUGAUUCUAGCACUCAAUUCUUAUCCCAUAUGAAUUGUAGACAUGCUUUUAAUUAGUGAUCAAUUUGAACAUGAUUAUUUCUUUGUACUUCCCACUAUAGCACCUCCAAUCCAUUGGGAAAGAAGUUUUUUCUGUAAAUGCAUCAAUUAUUCAGUAUCCUACCUUUAGAACAUUUUGUGAUUGUUAAAAAUAAUUUUAAUUGUAUCCGCAUAUGUUUUUCCUUAGUUGCUGUUAUCUUUGUUAUUUCCCUUUCAUCUUGUUUUUACAUCCUUGUUCUUUCCUUAAAAAUUACAAUGUUGUUUUAGUUGCUUCCUGAUCUCUAGGCAGAUGAAGACUGGAGGCCUUGUUGUGUGGAAUAAGGAAGAUUUUCUUGCGGUUUAUAGAGGUUGCAACUAUUUUCCAGGUUCAAGAAAUUUUUGAAGAUUCAUCAGAACUCAGUCAGCGAUCAAGAAAAUCUAUCCUCAAAUAUGAGUUACCAAAUCACCAGUCCUAUCUGGCUCUCUCUCAAUUAACAUCAAGUGGAAGUAGUCCUUACAAAAUAAAUAAUGGUAUAGAAGGUGAAUGGGAGAUCUUACAAAUCAAUGUACCAAUGUACGAAAGAGAAGCAGGUGGAUUAUUGGAUGGGUUAGGACCACGCUUUGUUGAUUGGUGGAUGCCGAAGCAUUUGCCAGUGGAUGCAGACUUGCUCCCAGAAGUUGUUCCUGGACUUGAGACACUGACGGAUGCUGAACUUACAUAUUUGAGAAAACUCACUCACCCUUUACCAACUGAAGAAUAUGUAAUCUUUAUUCUUAUUUCAAUGAUAAAACAAUGUACAAUUUAUAGGAAAAACAGAAGGAAUAAAUCACUUCCUUAAAUCAAGAAAAGAUUUAAUUUCUUAAACUACUCUGCUGACUAAAUGCCUAAGAAUUGGAAAUGAUAAAAAUAACACCCCUUAAUUGGGGAACUAAUUUACAGCUGCAGGAUCUGCUAGAAAUUAGGACUGAAAAUCAGGAAUUCUAUACCCGCCCUCAAGCUAAGCUAUAAAUGUUAAUUACACCUAGCUUGGAACUUAGUUCUUCAAAUGUUUUUCUUGGUAUCGCCUUAGUGAGAAUAUCUACAGUCUGUUGACAUGUUGGAGUGUAAAGUAGAGAUAUUAUCCUAGACUCUAUUUUCUCUGUGACAAAGUGCUGAUCAGUUUUCACCUGUUUUGUCCUGUCAUGAUGAAUUGGAUUCUUUGCUAUGAUGAUGGCAGAUUGAUUGUUGCAAUAUAUCUUCAUAGGAUCUGUAACUGGAAUAUUUAAUUCUUGAAGCACCCUUCUUAGCCAUAUUACUUCACACAUACCAUGAGCUAAAUCUCUAAAUUUUGCUUCUGCGCUGCUUCGAGAUACAACAGAUUGUUUUUUACUUCGCCAAGUGACUAGAUUUCCCUAGACGUAAGUGCAAUACCCAGAAGUUGAUCGUUGGUCAGUUAGGGACCCGGCCAAUCUUCAGUGAAGAUUUCAACUUCUUUGCUUGAAGUCUUCUUGAAGAAUAAUCCUUUGCCCGGAGUCAUCUUUAGAUACCUUAGAAUUCUAAAAACAGCCUCCAUGCGUUCUUCAGUUGGUUUAUUCAUAAAUUGACUCACCAUAUUGACAGAGAAACUCUGGUCUAGUGUGGGAAAGAUAAAUAAGUUUCCCAACUAAUCUUUCGUAUUUAUCCUUAUCCACAGGUGCACUAUCUUUCCUUGUUCCCAAUUUGAUAGAUGAAUCCAUAGGAGUGUCAACACGUUUACAACCAAGCAUUCCUGUUUCCUUCAGGAGAUCUAGUACAUACUUUCGCCGAGAUACUUAUAUUCAUCUUUUCGAUCAUGCCACUUCCAUCCCAAGGAAGUACUUGAGAUUGCCUAGAUCUUUAAUCUCAAAUUCUUUAGCUAAGAAUCCUUUGAGCUUGAGUAUCUCGUCUUCAUGAUCUCCUGUCAAGAUGAUAUCAUCUACGUACACAAUAAGAAUCGCUCUUUUUUCUGUAGAUGAUUGUUUAAUAAACAUAGUGUGAUUUGCCUGACAUUGAGUGUACCCAAAUCUCUUUAAUGCUUUAUUAAAUCUGUCAAACUAGGCCUUUGGAGAUUGUUUGAGGCCAUAUAAUGAUUUUCUUAGCUAACAAACCUUGUUUAUUGUAGUUUGAGUUGCAAAACCAGGGGUAAUCUCCAUGUAAACCUCUUUCUUUAGGUCUCCAUUAAGGAAUGCAUUCUUUACAUCUAGUUGAUAUAAUGGACAGUCCAGGUUGGAAGCUAAUGACAACAUUAUGCGAACUGUGUUAAGUUUGGCAACAGGAGCAAAUGUUUCUUGAUAGUCAAUUCCAUAGGACUGCGUGAAUCCUUUUGCUACCAAACGAGCCUUAAAUUUGUUUACACUUCCAUCUGCAUUAUGUUUAACAGUAAAGAUCCACUUGCAUCCUACUAGGCGUUUUCCAAUUGGCAGAUCAGAUAUUUCCCAUGUCCUAUUUUGUUCCAAUGCUCGAAUUUCUUCUAAAACUACAGUUUUCCAUCAUGGUACAGCAAGUGCUUCAUGUAUAGAAUUAGGAAUUUGCAUUUUAUCAAGAUUGCUAAUGCUCGAUAACCAGUUGACAGCCCAUUUUAUGAAAUAAAAUUACAGAUAGGAUGGGAGGUGCAGGACCUCACACCUUAUUGCAAGGCAAUCGGCAAAUUAAGAUCAUCAUUAGGAAUUUCAAUAGGAGCCGAAUUGGAGCUGGUGUUAACUGGUGAAAUUUCUAGAGAUUUUGAAGUUGGGUUGGACUCAUAGUUAUGCUCAGGUGGCUGUUCUCUUCUUUCCUGAGUUUUGUUUCUCCUAGUGUAGACAUGUAACUCACAAGAAUCAGCAGGGAUGCUUUGCUUUGGAAUUUGAGAUUUUGGCUUAGAAACUAAAGGUGUUGUCUGGGACUCUAAUGAUGGUAUGUCAGCCUGAACAAUCAUGUUUGGAGUCUGAUUUAAUUGAGGAAUUUCAGUUGAAGGUAUAGACAGAUCCGUGGUGAGAUGGAUUAGAAGUAUCAAUGUCCCAAAGCUGGUAUUCCCGUGUAAAAUUCUCCCCCCGAAUAUCAGAUUUGGGGUAAUAAGGUUGUUGUUCGAAGAAGGAGACAUCCAUGGAUUUGUAGAAUUUUCUUGUAAUUGGAGAGUAGCAUUUAUAACCCUUUUGACUUGAGGAAUACCCAAUGAAGAUACAUUUGAGGGCCUUGGGAUCAAGUUUACUUCGAUGUUGGGGGUGUAUGUGGAUAAACACGGAACAACCAAAAAUUUUAAAUGGAAUGGUGGACAGGACUCGAGUAGUAGGAUAUGAAUGGAGAAGGACUUGGUAGGGUGACUGAAAGUUCAACACUCAUGAGGGCAUUCUAUUUAUUAAAUAUGUAGCAGUUAAUAUUGCCUCUCCCCAAAAAAUUUAGGAACAUGUGUGGUGAACACAAGUGAUCGAGCAACUUCUAAAAGGUGUCUAUUUUUUCUUUCAGCUACCCCAUUUUGUUGGGGCGUGUCCACACAAAAAUUUUGAUGAAUGAUGCCCUGAUUAACUAGAUAAUCUCCUAGGAUGACGUCAAAAUAUUCUCUUACAUUAUCAGUUUUUAACACUUGUAUUUUUGUUUGGAACUAUGUCUGGAUCAUAGUGUCAAGUUUUUGAAGAUUUGACUAAUUUCAGAUUUUUCUUUCAUAAGAAAUAACCAUGUAAUCCUAGAGUGAUCAUCUACAAAGGAUAUGAACCAUCUAGUUCCAGCAAUAUUUUUAAUUCUAGAUGGUCUCCACACGUCACUAUGGAUUAAUGAGAAAUGUUGGAUUUUAUCGCAAUAUUAAAGAGAUGAAAAACGGAAAUCAACACAAGAAUUUUACGUGGUUCGGCGAUGUGCCUACGUCCACGAGAGCGAAGCGGAGAUUUCUUUACUCAGUUGUAAAAAAUAGGGUUACAAUAUAUUAUUUAUACUAACCCUAAUCUGGGCCCAUAUAAAACUUUAAGGCCCGUACAGAAAAUACCCCUGUACUGUACCGCGGGGGCGUUGCCCCCACACCCCCAACCUAUUUAGCGUCCCUAACAACCAGAUAGUGAAUUAAACCUGCGUAAGGCCGAUGCCGUCGCUCCGCUCCUCUCACUCCACUCCGCUCCGCACCAGCAUCGGCCCAUUUGAUCCAGCGCCUAUAUUCCACUCUAUAUGAGCCGCAUGUACAACAAGAAAGGAUGAAAUGCUUUGUAUGGUUUGAUGAAAUAAGAGUUGCGAAUAUGUUUUGCAAAUUGAGAUACUUCACAUUGAAACUCCAUUGGAUUUUUAUUAUUGAAUAAGGAAGGAAAUAACUUCUGAAGAUCCAAGAAAUUUGCAUGACCUAAACGGUAGUGCCACAACAUGAUUUCAGUAUCUUUAUUGAAUUGACAAGUGGAAACAAGGCAUUGAGAAAACUGACUCUUGGGCUUUACUCUUUCUGCUUUGUGAGUUUGUCCUUUAAGAGAUUCAUCAACUCUAAGAAGAUAAAGACUUGAGCACACCUCAGCACUGUCAAUCAUCCUCUCUGAAUUCAAAUCCUGAAAUUCAAACAAAUUUGAAUGGAAUUUAGUAACACACUUAUGUUCUUGAGUGAGCUUACUAGUUGACAGGAGAUUGCAAUUCAAUUUUGGUACAUGAAGCACUGAAUUUAGCUUGAGAUUUCUGGAAAUAAUAAUAGAACCUGUGCCAGCAACCUCGGCGACUGAUCCAUCAUCUAUUUUCAUAGUAAAAUUUUCACAGCAUGGAUUAUAUUGGUCAAAGAGAUUAAUAUCUCCAGUCAUGUGAUCCUAUGCACCCGAGUUUAAAAUCCUUGGAUUUAUUUUUUCUUUAUUUAUUGUAAGAGCACUUAAAGAAUUACCUAUGUGUGCUAAGGAUCUGGUUCCAAUUGUGUUAUCAGGUGGACAACAUCUUCUGUAAUACUUUAAGUUGCUCUUUGCUGAAAGGAUUUGGUUUNUAUUUCAUGAACGCACGAAG
Molecule: long non-coding RNA, 6138 nt
Filed under: Olea europaea subsp. europaea
Lineage: Eukaryota; Viridiplantae; Streptophyta; Magnoliopsida; Lamiales; Oleaceae
Source: RNAcentral